Long non-coding RNA from Equus caballus (horse), 1994 nucleotides. The record is from Ensembl. Lineage: Eukaryota; Metazoa; Chordata; Mammalia; Perissodactyla; Equidae.
AGGUGGGAAGGACACACAGACACACAGGGCGUGGAGGAAACAUCUAGGGCCUAGUGGGGAGUCUUCCUUCACGCCAAGGCAAGCGCCACCGUCUCCUCUCCACACUGCCCGCGCCGGACGCACUGAGAUGGUCCUCCUCCACGGACUACAGCCUAGCGCCUCAGCAGGCCUCCCCAAGGCACAGCCAUCCCCUUCCACCACCAACAGCACCUGAAUUUCUGAACCACUUUCGUCUUCUUUAAGAGCAAGUUUGGAGCUACAGAGAGCUGGCCAGGAAGGCUGAGCUCCAGAGCACAAGGAAUGGCUUUCUGGAGACCAGGAAGUACUUCAAACCCUCUGUGUCAAGAAGUAGAAGAACAACCUCCCCCCUCCCAACCCCACGCAGCCCCUCUCACCAAGGUCCCCAUCUCGAGGAGGGACCACCAUCCACCAAGCCAGGAACCUGGGAUAAGCCAUGACUCUUCCUUCGGCCUGGGUUAGGGAUGGGACAAGGGAGUCUGUUGCAUACAUUAAGUGUCUUAAGUGACUUGUUUUUUUUUUAAGCUAAAAGUUUAACGUUUUUAGGGUCAUAUGUCCAGAGGCAUCAAAAUGACUUCAAAAAUCCUCCCUCUCUUCCACAUCCCACACCCUGCCCACGCUCCCUCCUAAAUGACCCUGAGUCCACCUACUUUGCUCCGUUCUCUCCAGCAGAUGAGCAUCAGCUCUCAGCAAGAUGACCAAGCUGCCUCCUUACUGUUUUCCCAGGCUCCAGGGUUAACCCUCUCCACUGUCAUGGCACUGGGGAGGCCUGGGGAGCACAGAGGACACGCCCACCCACACAGUUUCCCGGAGAGCAUUUGGAAACAGCUAGAAAGGUGAUGGAACUGUCAAGUUCAUGAAAUCAACUACUUAAAUUGUGACCACAACACAGCUUUGUUUAUUUUGUGAUAGGGUAAAAACUUGCAAACUUUUCAAUAGGAUAUUAAAAAAAAGCAAAACUAUAGGUAGAACACUCUCUUGAAGGGAAAAGACCGCUUCCGUCACAAUCAGCCUGUGGCCUGACGCCCCACCAACAGUUUAGUUGGCUGGGCUCCAAUCUGUUCUUCAGCAAGGAGACCUUUGACUAUGAGUGGUUCACCAAGUUGGCGCUCUGUGAAUUCUGGCGGAAUGAGUGAGAGACAAACAGAAGUAUGAAAAUGUGGACAGAUUAGAAUCUCUCUCUCCAGAGGCAUUUUUUGUCCCAGGACAACUCUAUCAACCGUAGAAUGUUGACUCAACCCCACGUUGAUGGAGAAUGGCAUGCUCCAUGGUUAAUCUCAACCUCCAGCAUCUUUGCAGUGAGGUGAAGCCAUGUAACUGGUUAUCGGUAAUGGAGUGUAAGUGGAAGUGAUGUGUUACUUCCAGGCUGAGGAAUUUAAGAGUGGUUGUGCAUUCUCCACAUGCUUGCUCUUCCCCCUGAAGCCACAUAUUUAAGAUGGAGGAUCCCCAGCAUGAACAGAUCUGGAUUCCUGAGUUACCUGACCACAGAUAUCCACGUUGGACUAUGUGAUACACAAAUCUUUAUCACAUUAAGACACUGAGAUCUGGAGGUUGUCUGUUGCAACCGUUAUACCUACCCUAACAAUACAGCAUCGAGGUAAUGAGGCCAAAAUCACAAGAAACAAGGCUUGAGGCACUGUAGAAUUUGGACUGUGAUGCAUAGAGGGCAAAGGGGAGCACUUAAGAGUCAGAAAUUCUUGAUUUGAAUCUCAUACUAGCUGUGUGACUUUGAUCAAGUUAUUUAAUAUUUCUAAGCAUUGCUUUCUUCAAUGAUAAAAAUUACAUAGUAAUAACAUGACCCACUUUAUAGUAUUGGUUGUGAGGAUCAAAUGAAUCUAAGAAUGUAAAAGGCCUUUGAAACCAAAAAACUACAAAUGUCACUGGCUAUUAUUCUAACAGUUGACACAUAUGUUUAUUAAAAAUCUGUCAAGAGGCCAGGCCAGUGGCCGAGUGGUUAAGUCCGUGAGCUCUGCUUC